AGAGCUCAAAAUCUUCAGCGAGCUCUUAACCAACUGAGCCACUCAGCCAGCCCCUGAACUUUUUAACAAAUCUUUUUUAUCACCCCUACCCAGGACUCCUGAUUCUUUGAGUUGCUUGUUACCUCUCAUUCCUGAAACAAGGUUCUCAGAUUUAUGCCUUUUUUUUCUUUCUUUCUUGACUGUCACUGUGGUACAGUUUCAGGAGGAGACUGAAAUAAACAGGACCCCUUCAUGACAACCUGGAUGGACAGUUACAAAUGUAGCAUUCUCAGGCUUCCUGAAGUUCCAGACAGAAAGAACGUGGAGACAGGAGGAGAGCUGGUCCCAGGCCCUGGCACCUAGCCUGUGCCCUAUCCCCCUUCUCUUCCCAUGCCGGCUUACACUGUCACUGUGAGCGACCUCAGGGACACA
This is a long non-coding RNA of Hipposideros armiger (great roundleaf bat), 411 nucleotides long. RefSeq lists it as uncharacterized. NCBI's taxonomy places the organism in Eukaryota, Metazoa, Chordata, Mammalia, Chiroptera, Hipposideridae. The record is from RefSeq and is a predicted model, not a curated record. The transcript is spliced from 3 exons.